UACCAUGGUCCCACGAGAUGCUAUGACUAG
RNAcentral lists this non-coding RNA (30 nucleotides) under Rattus norvegicus (Norway rat). The record is from RNAcentral. Lineage: Eukaryota; Metazoa; Chordata; Mammalia; Rodentia; Muridae.